UACGGAGGGUGCAAGCGUUAUCCGGAUUCACUGGGUUUAAAGGGUGCGUAGGAGGGCAGGUAAGUCAGUGGUGAAAUCUCCAAGCUUAACUUGGAAACUGCCGUUGAUACUAUCUGUCUUGAAUAUUGUGGAGGUGAGCGGAAUAUGUCAUGUAGCGGUGAAAUGCUUAGAGAUGUGGAGGAACACCGAUGGCGAAGGCGGCUCACUGGCCCGGUACUGACGCUGAGGUGCGAAAGCGUGGGGAGCAAACAGG
This 253-nucleotide ribosomal RNA is filed under the name uncultured bacterium. RNAcentral describes it as "partial 16S ribosomal RNA". It matches the Rfam family "Bacterial small subunit ribosomal RNA", at positions 524 to 776 of the family's 1533-position model. The record is from RNAcentral.